CCUACGGGAGGCAGCAGUGAGGAAUAUUGGUCAAUGGGCGCGAGCCUGAACCAGCCAAGUAGCGUGAAGGAUGACUGCCCUACGGGUUGUAAACUUCUUUUAUAAAGGAAUAAAGUGAGGCACGUGUGCCUUUUUGUAUGUACUUUAUGAAUAAGGAUCGGCUAACUCCGUGCCAGCAGCCGCGGUAAUACGGAGGAUCCGAGCGUUAUCCGGAUUUAUUGGGUUUAAAGGGAGCGUAGUUGGGUUGUUAAGUCAGUUGUGAAAGUUUGCGGCUCAACCGUAAAAUUGCAAUUGGUACUUGCAGCCUUGAGUAGAGUUGAGGUAGGCGGAAUGCGUGGUGUAGCGGUGAAAUGCUUAGAUAUCACGAAGAACUCCGAUUGCGAAGGCAGCUUACUAAACUGCAACUGACAUUGAUGCUCGAAAGUGUGGGUAUCAAACAGGAUUAGAUACCCGAGUAGUC
Molecule: ribosomal RNA, 460 nt
Filed under: uncultured bacterium
Lineage: Bacteria
Description: partial 16S ribosomal RNA
Rfam family: Bacterial small subunit ribosomal RNA
Source: RNAcentral